RNAcentral lists this ribosomal RNA (26 nucleotides) under Platanthera psycodes. RNAcentral's name for it is "partial 26S ribosomal RNA". The record is from RNAcentral. Lineage: Eukaryota; Viridiplantae; Streptophyta; Magnoliopsida; Asparagales; Orchidaceae.
CGACCCCAGGAUGGGCGGGGUGACCC